Molecule: non-coding RNA, 23 nt
Filed under: Arabidopsis thaliana (thale cress)
Lineage: Eukaryota; Viridiplantae; Streptophyta; Magnoliopsida; Brassicales; Brassicaceae
Source: RNAcentral
GUGUGUUGAUGUGUCAUUCAUAU